UACGUAGGGGGCAAGCGUUGUCCGGAUUUAUUGGGCGUAAAGAGCGUGUAGGCGGUUUGGUAGGUCCGCUGUGAAAACUCGAGGCUCAACCUCGAGACGCCGGUGGAAACCAUCAGACUAGAGUCCGGAAGAGGAGAGUGGAAUUCCUGGUGUAGCGGUGAAAUGCGCAGAUAUCAGGAAGAACACCCGUGGCUAAGGCGGCUCUCUAGUACGGUACUGACGCUGAGACGCGAAAGCGGGGGGAGCGAACAGG
This 253-nucleotide ribosomal RNA is filed under the name uncultured bacterium. Its description in RNAcentral is "partial 16S ribosomal RNA". It matches the Rfam family "Bacterial small subunit ribosomal RNA", at positions 524 to 776 of the family's 1533-position model. The record is from RNAcentral.